GUCUGUGUUUCCGCUGCGGCCAGCCAGGC
This 29-nucleotide small RNA is filed under the name Bombyx mori (domestic silkworm). RNAcentral describes it as "ovarian small RNA-17820". The record is from RNAcentral. Lineage: Eukaryota; Metazoa; Arthropoda; Insecta; Lepidoptera; Bombycidae.